RNAcentral lists this ribosomal RNA (253 nucleotides) under uncultured bacterium. RNAcentral describes it as "partial 16S ribosomal RNA". It matches the Rfam family "Bacterial small subunit ribosomal RNA", at positions 524 to 776 of the family's 1533-position model. The record is from RNAcentral.
UACGUAGGGGGCAAGCGUUGUCCGGAAUCAUUGGGCGUAAAGAGCGUGUAGGCGGCCCGAUAAGUCCGCUGUGAAAGUCCAGGGCUCAACCCUCGGAUGCCGGUGGAUACUGUCGGGCUCGAGUACGGAAGAGGCGAGUGGAAUUCCUGGUGUAGCGGUGAAAUGCGCAGAUAUCAGGAGGAACACCUAUUGCGAAGGCAGCUCGCUGGGACGUUACUGACGCUGAGACGCGAAAGCGUGGGGAGCAAACAGG